UUUUUUUUUUUGGCUGAGGAAGACUGGCCCUGAGCUGCCAUCUGUGCCUAUCUUCCUCUAUUUUAUAUGUGGGGUGCCUGCCACAGCAUGGCUUGCCAAGCAGUGCCAUGUCCACACCAGAGAUCUGAACCAGCACAGGCCAGGCCGCCAAAGCAGAACGUGUGAACUUAACCACUAUGCCACCAGGCCAGCCCCCCAUCUUUUGCUUUUAACUUCAAUAUAGAGUUAAUGUUCUUGAAAUUUCUUUCCAAAAAGCUUGAAUAAAGUCCAAAUAUUUUACCCCAGCAUUUAAAGCCUUCCAUGAUCUGGUUGCAGAUUUAUCAAGCACUCUUCCCUUUGGCCAUCCUGAACCACUACCUGUUUCUCACUCACCUCACUUCACUGUCACACAGCUGUACUGUCCAUCACCGGAGUGCAGGCACCACGAGGGCUGAUCUCCGGGCAACAGAGCGAUGGGAAGGUUUUGAAGUGAAUGAAUUCUUUGUUCAUUUGUCUACCUCCUCCUCAACCUCUGCAUAUCUAAAUUCUGUGCUUACUUUAAGGCUCAGAUCAAAUACUGCUUCCUUCAGGAUGCUUUCCCAGAUUCCUUUGCACAUUAAAGUCAUGCCAUCUGGAUUCCCACAAUAUUUUAUUUAUCCCUCUUUUGUGAUGCUUAUUUUCUUCCUGAAAUUAUUGUUCUCUGGAAUUGAGUCAUUUAUAUUUAUUUUUGUAUCUUCCCUAGACCCUAGACUCAUGGUUCUUAGCACAUAGUAGGCACUUAGUUAAUGUUCCUUGAGUCCAUUAAUUAAUACUUAAAGUGAAAAGAGAACUGGGAGGUGAUUGUUGCAUGAAUUCCUAAACCUCUAGAAUAGGUUCUAUGUAAACACACAUAUGGAUCUCUCAUGAAAACAACAACAAAAACCAAGUGAAAAUAAAAUCACAGCUAAUUUUGGUAUCACCAUUCCACUGAUUGACAACUUUGGUAAUAAUAAUAGCCAUGCUUUAUUGAAAACUGACUCUGCCAGGCAAUCCAAUCCCUUUACGUAUAUCAUCAUGGAUCUUCAACACUUAUGAGGGUCUAUAUUCAUUUAAAUAAUGAGCGUAUUGAGGCUGAAGCUGAGUCUUAUGUUUGCUAUGUAUGUGAACUAAAAUUUAAGUAUGGGUCUGACUGACUCCAAGGCUCUUCCCGCUAGGCCGUGCCUUCAGACUCUUUGGGUUCAGAAAUCCUUUUAGUUCACUAAGGGAAACGUCUUGUGUGAUGUCCACAGUGGAGACACAAACAUGCCCACGGAAUCUCGGCAUCUGCACUGACAGGCCUUCAUUUCCCUAAUGGAGAUUUGAUGACUAUAUUGCUAACAAAGGAAGAAGGCUCCCUUAGUAAAACUUUUAGGCAAGUCCCAAAAUUUAAGUUGAUCCUCGUCAACACUUUCUGUAAUAAUUAAAAUGUUACAAGCUAGAAUCUAGUGGUGAAAGGGAACUUUGGGAGUAUUCCUAGCUGUGCUACCUGACUACAGUUUAAAGAUCUGUAUAUUCUGAGGACCAGGAGGUCACAGGAUUGCCUUCCUCUGUGCUGCCUCGUUAACCUAACAAUCCCCGCCUCCUCUAUCUGCAGUCACCCCUGGGAUACGCUAAUUGUAAUGUCUCUCGAGUCAGCAGAAGGUAAAACCACACAGUGCAAUGUUGAACAGAAGUGAUGAGCAUGAACAUCCUUGCCUUAAUCCCAGUAUUGCAGGAAAGGAAUCCAUGGUUUACCAGAAAGAGCAUCAGAAACAGUUGGCUACACUAUAGCUACAUCCAGGAGUGGCCCUGAAGGACAGUGGAAAGGGCAGAUCUUUCUAAUAAGCAGAACUGUGAGUGGUGUACCCGGGCAUCUGUUUUGUGUAGAGGACUUGUUCCGGGUGAGAAUAUGUACUGUUUCCUGGGCAGUGGCUAAUGGCUUGGCCAUCUGUUCAAAAGCCUGGAUGGAAAAGGACUGGACAAUCGGAGCCAAGGAAGUCUGGUGUAGAGGUAUGUGGAUGGACAUAUGGGAGUGGACAGAGUGUGAAGAUUUUUGUUUCACACAUUAACACCCACCAGAAAGCAUCCGUCAAGGAAGGGCACUUAGCAACCAAAUAAACAGAAUGUCUUGGCCAGCUGAGGUUGGUCAGGCUUUGUCAUCAGACACUCUGAACUGGCAUGAUGGGCACAUGAAUGGAGUAGCUACAGCGGCAGAGCUGGAAGUUAUGUAUGGGCCCAACACCUGGACUCUCAGUUACUAAGGCUGAUCUAGCUACUGCAGCCUCUGAAUGUCUAACCUGUCAGCCACAGAGACCAUCACUGAGCCCUCGAUAUGACACUAUUCCGCAAGAUUAACUGGUCACUUGGUGGCAAGUUGACUAUAAUGGGCCUCUUCCAUCCCGGAAGGGCCAGUAGUUUGUCCUCACAGGGACAGAACCUAAUCCAGGUAUGGGUUUGCCUUUCUACCUGCAGAGCCUCAGCCAGCACCACGAAAAGGACUGCUAUAGGAUCCAGCGACUUCAUGGUGAUGAAGGUGCAAGACAGGGCUCAUGACAAAGGAAUGCCCAGGCCUUAUCACAUACUACACCACGCUGCAGCCUCAUCCAUGACACCAGCCUCACAGAAUGGUGGAAUGGUCUUCUAAAGACACAGCUAAAGUAUGAACUUUGAGGCAACAUUCUGAAAGCAUGGGUUGUCAUCUUUAAGGAUACAUGGGUGCAAUGUGCCGGCAAAAGGAAUGGCCUCAUUUAUAACACUCCUGAUGACAUUAUUGGAAGCAUUUGUGCUUCCUGCCCUGCAACUCUGCCCUUUGUAAACUUGAAAGGUCCUGGUUCCCAAAAUAGGCAUGCUCUUGUCAAGGACCACAGUCAGGGUCCAACUGAGCUACAAGAAAUGGUUGCCACUAGGGCACUUUGUACUCCUUGUGUCUAGGGGCGUGCAGGUGAGGAAUCACCAUAUUUACAGAGAAAUUGACCACUGUGAGCAGGAGGUCAGGCUGCUUCUACACAAUGGGACAGGGAGGGAUAUGUGUGGAUCUCAACGUGAUCCACUUGGUGUCUCCUGGUGCUCUCCUGCCCCACUGGAACUGUGAACAGACACAAACGGCCAUAUAUGGCAAACCCAGCCUAAGAAGGGCAUGAUUACUAAGGGUUCAGACUCUCAGGAAAUGACCGUUUGCACUACAUCAUCAGGUAAACCACUGGGUGAUUGGCAAGUGUGAGAAGAAUCCAAAAUGGGAUAUUGGAGGAGGAGAUGAGCACCACUUGCAGCCCUCGGAUCAACUGCAGUGACAGGGAAUGCACUUCAUCCUACUAACCUCCCUUUUCUAAGUGUUUCUCAGGAAGAGAGGUACCCCACGGGAACCAUGGAGGACUUGCUCCCUGAACAGAGCUAUGCAGCACAAGGGGUGGACUGUAAUAGCCAUGACCACCAGAUCUCUUGCUGAGGGGAGCUUGACUGACUGAGGGCCCCAGCUACUGCUCUCGGAACCCAUGGAUAUUUUCAUGCCAGGGCUACAGUUCCCAUCAGAACGUGAGCAGAGCAGGUGUACUAAGGCAGACCCAUUCCUGUGAGGUACGAUACUCCUCUGAUGGUCAACUUGGGCUGGAGGGUUCUUCAUCAGCCUGACCAGACUUUCUUGGAAUUGUGCUGCAGUCUGAGACUCUUGCUGCUCAACCCUCCUUCCUUCCCUCUUUCUUCAAAGGGGUCAGACGUGAUACGUGGCCUGAAGACUCUCUGCUUCCUCUGACUUCCUCUCUAUUUCAGUGUCCAUAGGUGUGUCCCCAAAUAAAUCUCUCGUAAACUUAAUCCCGUUUUUGCAUGUGCUUCUUGGAGGACCUGAACGAAAGCAUUUGGACUUUGUUCUGCCAGGUUGUUUGAUACUUGUGGCUCAGCUUCAUAAUCGAGGCUUGCUUUUAAGCUUUUUUGGGGGGCAAGUCUAGCGUAGAUUUUACUGUCAGGCUAGUUUAUCCCUGCUUUUUACCUAAGGUGUAACCUUCCUCGGACCUCCAGUGAAUGUCUGGAGUUCUCAGUGGGGAUGGUCCAGUAUGGCUGGAUGGAAAGUAAUGUUGCCCAAUCUCGUGCUAGUUUUGGGAAUUAAGCUUAGUGCUCAGCAAUGGACACUAAAGGAUUGGUGUGUAGAUUUUUGGAAUUUUUUUCUCCAUAUACCUUCCUCCUCGCUGAUACUCGGCCCUGAAAACUCAA
This 4179-nucleotide long non-coding RNA is filed under the name Equus asinus (donkey). Its description in RNAcentral is "lncRNA (ENSEASG00005034122.1)". Lineage: Eukaryota; Metazoa; Chordata; Mammalia; Perissodactyla; Equidae. The record is from RNAcentral.